This 347-nucleotide long non-coding RNA is filed under the name Nicotiana benthamiana. Its description in RNAcentral is "long non-coding RNA (NBEN_LNC028739)". The record is from RNAcentral. Lineage: Eukaryota; Viridiplantae; Streptophyta; Magnoliopsida; Solanales; Solanaceae.
UUUUAUAAUUUUUUGUGAGAAAAUAAAGUUAUAUGACUUUAGUGAAAAAAUAUCAUAGUUAUAUGACCAUUUGUGAAAUUUACCCAAGAAUGCAAGGAAGGGCUCCCCAGUUAGUUUUCAUAUGAAUUAAACUUGAAUAUAUAUUUUUCAAUGGCUAUAACCAGAUUCGAUUUGGUUCUUGGUUUUUCAUAUAGAAAUCAAAUAAUAGUUAGAGAAUUGGAGCUAGGUUGUUACGAUGGUGUCUGAAGUUUUACUGUCUUGCAGCAUGGGGGUUUUAAAUCUUGGGGAUAGAAGGAUAGACAUGAAAUUAAGUGUCCUAGAAGAGAAUGAGACAAUUUUUGAUACGC